UACGGAGGGUCCAAGCGUUAUCCGGAAUCAUUGGGUUUAAAGGGUCCGUAGGCGGUUUGGUAAGUCAGUGGUGAAAGCCCAUCGCUCAACGGUGGAACGGCCAUUGAUACUGCCAGACUUGAAUUAUUAGGAAGUAACUAGAAUAUGUAGUGUAGCGGUGAAAUGCUUAGAGAUUACAUGGAAUACCAAUUGCGAAGGCAGGUUACUACUAAUGGAUUGACGCUGAUGGACGAAAGCGUGGGUAGCGAACAGG
RNAcentral lists this ribosomal RNA (253 nucleotides) under uncultured bacterium. RNAcentral's name for it is "partial 16S ribosomal RNA". It matches the Rfam family "Bacterial small subunit ribosomal RNA", at positions 524 to 776 of the family's 1533-position model. The record is from RNAcentral.